GACGAACGCUGGCGGCGUGCUUAACACAUGCAAGUCGAACGGUAAGGCCCUUCGGGGUACACGAGUGGCGAACGGGUGAGUAACACGUGGGUGAUCUGCUCUGCACUUCGGGUUAAGCCUGGGAAACUGGGUCUAAUACCGGAUAGGACCACUGCCUGCAUGGGUGGUGGUGGAAAGCUUUUGCGGUGUGGGAUGGGCCCGCGGCCUAUCAGCUUGUUGGUGGGGUGAUGGCCUACCAAGGCGACGACGGGUAGCCGGCCUGAGAGGGUGACCGGCCACACUGGGACUGAGAUACGGCCCAGACUCCUACGGGAGGCAGCAGUGGGGAAUAUUGCACAAUGGGCGCAAGCCUGAUGCAGCGACGCCGCGUGAGGGAUGACGGCCUUCGGGUUGUAAACCUCUUUCAGCACCGACGAAGCGCAAGUGACGGUAGGUGCAGAAGAAGGACCGGCCAACUACGUGCCAGCAGCCGCCGUAA
Molecule: ribosomal RNA, 478 nt
Filed under: uncultured bacterium
Lineage: Bacteria
Description: partial 16S ribosomal RNA
Rfam family: Bacterial small subunit ribosomal RNA
Source: RNAcentral